Molecule: long non-coding RNA, 1112 nt
Organism: Peromyscus eremicus (cactus mouse)
Lineage: Eukaryota; Metazoa; Chordata; Mammalia; Rodentia; Cricetidae
Exons: 2
Source: RefSeq, a predicted model, not a curated record
CAGCGGGAUGCAGAGCAGACAAACUGUUCUCCAAUAGAGAGGAACCAAGUGUUGGUCUAGCCAUGGCUUAAUCAAUCCUGUGGGCACUGCUUAUGGCUUUGGAUGAUACCAACCCAUUUGGCCUACCAUCUCAAGGACUUCCCCGAAGGAAGAAGGGGAGAUUCACCUUUAAGGGCUGAUGUCCAGGUACCCAUGGCAAUUCUACGACAGUUAGAACCCACAGUUGGUUGGCACGACUUGAUUGGCACAGUUUGGUCCCGAGACUAUAAAGGAGUCCCAAGAUGGAAAACAGAUUGAAAUCAAGGGGUGUAGUGUCUAUGAUACUGCAGAUGAGCAGAGAUUCCACAGAUUUCUACAAGGGGCAGACGACAUGGCUUGUUAUCUCUUUCUUCUACUUUUCGGUUAUGUAUAUCUCGGAAGUGCCCUGGUUUAGUAGGAAGAAUGACUUCCAGUGCCAUGGGAACAUCUCUGAUGCCUGCAUGGCCGAGUGCUACAACCAGCAUUUCUCCAUGCCUAUGAUAGGAGUUUGGAACACUGUUGGUUUGACCGUCUACUCUGUCUUUUUUAUGAUGGAGUUUUCAGUCUUUAAAAAUUUAACUAUAAGCUCAGAAUAUUCACAGCAAUCCUUAGAGGAAGAGCCAUGCCACAGCCCACUCUAUAAUAAACAUGAUGCAAAGAGUGAGGAAAUGAUUUUGAAGUUGUCUAAGGAGAAGUUCCUGUUGUCUACAUUCCUCGCCUACUAUAUGGGUCAGAUGGCCAUUCAGGGGAUCUUCCUGAUCAUCAUAUGGUACUAUCAACGAUCCCUGAUUAAGGAAGAUGUCUGGUGCCACACAACUGUGUGUCUCGGACCAUACUUGUGCGUGUUCAUGGGGGUACAGGAGAAGUUAAUGUCCAUCACACUUAUAACUAUCCUUUCUGUGAUAAUCAUCAUCUUCUGCUUUAUAUUCUUCAUGUAUACCAUUAGUCUGUACGCUCUCACGAGUGUAAUCCUGAUGGACACAAAAGCUAAAUUCCAGCAGCUGUCCAAGUGACCACUGACCCAACCUGGAGUGCAAAUAAAACUGGACUGGUUUUGAAUAUUCCCUGAUGCUCCUGUCUGGGAAAAACUACAA